This 529-nucleotide unclassified non-coding RNA is filed under the name Microascus trautmannii. RNAcentral describes it as "sequence contains 18S rRNA gene, ITS1, 5.8S rRNA gene, ITS2, 28S rRNA gene". The stretch from base 175 to 328 matches the Rfam family "5.8S ribosomal RNA". Lineage: Eukaryota; Fungi; Ascomycota; Sordariomycetes; Microascales; Microascaceae. The record is from RNAcentral.
CCCAUUUGUGAACACUACCCCAUUGCCGCGCGUUGCCUCGGCGGUGAGGUUCGCGGGGGGGGGGGCGCCUGCGCUCCGGCGCUCCCCCCUCCCCCCGGGCCCCCGCCGGCCGCGCCUUACUCUUAAUUUGCAAAGCGGACUGUACGAUCUGAUUAAUCUUGAUAAACAAGUCAAAACUUUCAACAACGGAUCUCUUGGUUCUGGCAUCGAUGAAGAACGCAGCGAAAUGCGAUAAGUAAUGUGAAUUGCAGAAUUCAGUGAAUCAUCGAAUCUUUGAACGCACAUUGCGCCCGGCAGCAAUCUGCCGGGCAUGCCUGUCCGAGCGUCAUUUCUCCCCUCGAGCGCGGUUCGGCCCCUAGCGGGCCGGCCGCCGCCCGGUGUUGGGGCACUGCGGGCCACAGCGCCCGCAGGCCCUUAAAUGAAGUGGCGGUCCCGCCGCGGCGCCCCCUGCGUAGUAGUAAAGCACCUCGCAUCGGGUCCCGGCGGAAGACCAGCCGUCGAACCUAUCUCUUGAUGGUUUGACCUCGGA